Molecule: transfer RNA, 86 nt
Filed under: Gammaproteobacteria bacterium
Lineage: Bacteria; Pseudomonadati; Pseudomonadota; Gammaproteobacteria
Description: tRNA-Ser
Rfam family: tRNA
About the family: Transfer RNA (tRNA) molecules are approximately 80 nucleotides in length. Their secondary structure includes four short double-helical elements and three loops (D, anti-codon, and T loops).
Source: RNAcentral
GGAGAGGUGGCUGAGUGGCUGAAGGCGGCGGUCUUGAAAACCGUUGACCGUUCUGCGGUCCGGGGGUUCGAAUCCCUCCCUCUCCG